Molecule: long non-coding RNA, 1043 nt
Organism: Lycium ferocissimum
Lineage: Eukaryota; Viridiplantae; Streptophyta; Magnoliopsida; Solanales; Solanaceae
Exons: 2
Source: RefSeq, a predicted model, not a curated record
CCUCCAGGAAUACUGUCCAUGUAAACGAUGCAUAUGGAACUAGCAAGAUGCUUGCAGUACUUGACAUCAAACAUCUUGCUGUCCUAAUUGUGCAACGAUUGAUGUGAAUCAGCGUGCAGUGCUCUUCUAUGGUGUUACGUGAUUGUGUGUCCAUAAAGAAAGAAGAGAUAUUGAAGCAGAGAGAAGAAAGACCAGCUAAGGUCGGUUCUCUCCCUUAUUGAAUAAAAUGUGAGAAGAAAAAUGAAAAAUAAAUGAAGAAACUCUACUGAUGUUCUUAUUAAUCCUUGUUUUGGAUUAUAUGCUUGCAAGGCCCUAAUAUGAGUGUUGUUUCAUGAAAAUACAGAUUGUAAGCUAUUUAUUUUUAUGAUACGUUCAUGGAUGUGAUCCUUACUUUUAUGAUUUUUGUUGUUGUUAAGGUUGUGUUUGUAUGUCUCCAUGCGCUCAGGUACUUUUGUAUGUCUAGAGUUAUUUGUUAUUUUUCUCUAAUAUCUGUAAGAAGUUGCUUUAAGAUAUUACUGAUUUAGCGACAGAGUUUGUUACACUGUUGAUCUCCUUUUAUAUCAUGAUGCAAAUGCGAGAUCAUCCUCAUGUCAUGCCAUGAUCAUAUAAAAAUUUGUCAAGUAAAUUCAUUUAGUCAAUUGCUCUCUUUCCUUAAUUCAUUAUUUCUCUCAUUUUGUGGUGUUUAAGUGUGUCUGCAUACUGUAGAUGUGCUAGCUUCUAUCUGCUUGAACCAGAUCAUUGACGCAUUUGUAUAAUGUCCUGAGAAGUUAGAUGAAAUAUGUUAUCAUGGAUUCAUCAGCUCGUGAUCAACUAGCACUCAAGUGGCAGUGGGCAAACAAAGGGACAUGCAAUGGCAAUUUAGAGGAUGUAAUAGAUAUAUCCCAUUGGAAAAUAUCUUCUCGAGUUAAAUCUUUUAUCUUCUAACUGUGCAAACAAUAAGAACAACGAUGCCAUACAUAUGCACAGGCAUCAUUCAUCUAGUAUAUUUACCAGUCUUAGCUAAAGAUCAUUCGGUAAUAAAAAGAGGUCAAUUCCAUAUGAUA